AUUGAACGCUGGCGGCAGGCCUAACACAUCCAAGUCGAGCGGAUGAAGGGAGCUUGCUCCUGGAUUCAGCGGCGGACGGGUGAGUAAUGCCUAGGAAUCUGCCUGGUAGUGGGGGAUAACGUCCGGAAACGGGCGCUAAUACCGCAUACGUCCUGAGGGAGAAAGUGGGGGAUCUUCGGACCUCACGCUAUCAGAUGAGCCUAGGUCGGAUUAGCUAGUUGGUGGGGUAAAGGCCUACCAAGGCGACGAUCCGUAACUGGUCUGAGAGGAUGAUCAGUCACACUGGAACUGAGACGCGGUCCAGACUCCUACGGGAGGCAGCAGUGGGGAAUAUUGGACAAUGGGCGAAAGCCUGAUCCAGCCAUGCCGCGUGUGUGAAGAAGGUCUUCGGAUUGUAAAGCACUUUAAGUUGGGAGGAAGGGCAGUAAGUUAAUACCUUGCUGUUUUGACGUUACCAACAGAAUAAGCACCGGCUAACUUCGUG
Molecule: ribosomal RNA, 484 nt
Filed under: uncultured bacterium
Lineage: Bacteria
Description: partial 16S ribosomal RNA
Rfam family: Bacterial small subunit ribosomal RNA
Source: RNAcentral